GAUUUACUCCCUCCGUUCCAAAAUAGAUGACUCAACUUUGUACUAACUUUAGUAUAAAAUUAGUACAAAGUUGAGUCAUCUAUUUUGGAACGGAGGGAGUAUUUC
Non-coding RNA from Triticum aestivum (bread wheat), 105 nucleotides. NCBI's taxonomy places the organism in Eukaryota, Viridiplantae, Streptophyta, Magnoliopsida, Poales, Poaceae. The record is from Rfam.